CGGGCGGCUGCGCGCGCGGGGCGGCCCCAGGCGGGCGGUGUAGCGGGGCAGGAGCAGAGCGCCGGGUUUAAAAGAGAAGGGAGGGACGGCUAGAAACCGCGGGAUGCGGCGCGCCAGGCUCGCGCCUCGAGAGCCAUCUAAUGAAGACCAGCUCACAGGCACUCACUGAUACUUAAAUUUUAACUGGGAGUCCUAGGAAGGACAAGAUGGGGAGGCCAACGUGCAUCCCCGUGUGGCCCACCCAGGCUGAGGCUGAGCCACUGUGACGGGCUGUAUGCUGAAGACAAGUAUUUGCUGUCUCUUUUAGUAAUCCCGACAGAACAAAUGAGUUAUCAGAAAAUGGAUGAAUGAGUUACCUCUGGAAGCAGAGUUCAGUUGGGAAAAAUGCCAAGGAAUGGAGAAGAGGUAUCAAAGAGCAUAACCAAUACUGCUGCGCGGAGAAGGGAGUUGGGAUUACUCAAGACUCACAUAAGUACAUACAUGUCUUCCCAAUGUCAGCCAACAGAGCACAGCUGCAUCCUGGAGAGUGCCUGGAGCAAGCACUGCAAGCCAUAUGAUUCAGCAGCUGCAGUUUUCUCACCUGCAGACACACUGGGCUGUUGCAUUGCACAGGACAAGAGGAGUGUGAACCAGAGGUCUGGGAAUUCUCUAUCUACGUUUCUCUGCUGUUAA
Molecule: long non-coding RNA, 672 nt
Filed under: Dromaius novaehollandiae (emu)
Lineage: Eukaryota; Metazoa; Chordata; Aves; Casuariiformes; Dromaiidae
Description: lncRNA (ENSDNVG00000006215.1)
Source: RNAcentral